CCUACGGGAGGCAGCAGUCGAGAAUCAUUCACAAUGGGGGAAACCCUGAUGGUGCGACGCCGCGUGGGGGAAUGAAGGUCUUCGGAUUGUAAACCCCUGUCAUGUGGGAGCAAAUUAAAAAGAUAGUACCACAAGAGGAAGAGACGGCUAACUCUGUGCGAGCAGCCGCGGUAAUACAGAGGUCUCAAGCGUUGUUCGGAAUCACUGGGCGUAAAGCGUGCGUAGGCUGUGUCGUAAGUCGUGUGUGAAGGGCGCGGGCGCAACCCGCGGACGGCACAUGAGACUGCGAGACUAGAGUAAUGGAGGGGGAACCGGAAUUCUCGGUGUAGCAGUGAAAUGCGUAGAUAUCGAGAGGAACACUCGUGGCGAAGGCGGGUUCCUGGACAUUAACUGACGCUGAGGCACGAAGGCCAGGGGAGCGAAAGGGAUUAGAUACCCGAGUAGUC
This 446-nucleotide ribosomal RNA is filed under the name uncultured bacterium. RNAcentral describes it as "partial 16S ribosomal RNA". It matches the Rfam family "Bacterial small subunit ribosomal RNA", at positions 338 to 795 of the family's 1533-position model. The record is from RNAcentral.